This 180-nucleotide non-coding RNA is filed under the name Columba livia (rock pigeon). RNAcentral describes it as "Eukaryotic small subunit ribosomal RNA". It matches the Rfam family "Eukaryotic small subunit ribosomal RNA", at positions 1273 to 1473 of the family's 1831-position model. The record is from Rfam by way of RNAcentral. Lineage: Eukaryota; Metazoa; Chordata; Aves; Columbiformes; Columbidae.
GGUGGUGGCACAUGGCCGUUCUUAGUUGGUGGAGUGAUUUCUCUGGUUAAUUCCAGUAACAAACAAGACUCUGGUAUGCGAACUAGGUACGUGACCCCAAGCAGUUGGCAUCCAACUUGUUAGAGGGACAAGCAGUGUUCAGCCACCCGAGACUGAGCAAUAACAGGUCUGUGAUGCCCC